RNAcentral lists this ribosomal RNA (483 nucleotides) under uncultured bacterium. Its description in RNAcentral is "partial 16S ribosomal RNA". It matches the Rfam family "Bacterial small subunit ribosomal RNA", at positions 30 to 506 of the family's 1533-position model. The record is from RNAcentral.
AUUGAACGCUGGCGGCAGGCCUAACACAUGCAAGUCGAGCGGAUGAAGGGAGCUUGCUCCUGGAUUCAGCGGCGGACGGGUGAGUAAUGCCUAGGAAUCUGCCUGGUAGUGGGGGAUAACGUCCGGAAACGGGCGCUAAUACCGCAUACGUCCUGAGGGAGAAAGUGGGGGAUCUUCGGACCUCACGCUAUCAGAUGAGCCUAGGUCGGAUUAGCUAGUUGGUGGGGUAAAGGCCUACCAAGGCGACGAUCCGUAACUGGUCUGAGAGGAUGAUCAGUCAACCGGGACUUGAGACAGGGUCCAGCCCCCUACGGGGGGCAGGAGGGGGGAAUUUUGGAAAAGGGGGGAAACCCUGACCCAGCCAUGCCGCGUGGGUGAAGAAGGUUUUCGGAUUGUAAAGCACUUUAAGUUGGGAGGAAGGGAAGUAAGUUAAUACCUUGCUUUUUUGACUUUACCAACAGAAUAAGCACCGGCUAACUUCGU